Astatotilapia calliptera (eastern happy) is the source of this 2964-nucleotide long non-coding RNA. NCBI's taxonomy places the organism in Eukaryota, Metazoa, Chordata, Actinopteri, Cichliformes, Cichlidae. The record is from Ensembl.
CUAACUCCUGUGAUUAAGGAUUAUUUGAAACAACCCAAACCUUUGUUUACAUCUCUUCCAUUCAUUCAUGUGGAAAGUUUGUUGCUUUAGCUUUCUAAUUGUAAAAGACAGCCGGUUGCAGUUUAGUGUGCCUGUCUUGUCUAGAUAAAUAAGUGUGUAUUUAUCUGUAUCACCUAGUGCAUGUGUUGGCAUGUGUGAGUGUGUGCAUGCUGCUGAUAUCGCAGGGUUUGCAAACAGGAGUACUGCUGGCUGUGGACCAAGAGGAGGUUUACAUGGGGCUGGGCCACGAGGGCUCAAACCACCUUACUGCCCCUAUCCAGACACCCUCCUCCCAAUCCAACCUGCCCCUUGCUCCUCAGCCCGCCCAGCCCACCGCCACCACAACCAGUACCAGCACCCCUCCUCCACUCUCAGCCACUCACAUGCACCCUCUUUUCUCUCUCCUUCCUGCCGUGUGCCAUUCCUCCCUCUCUCUCUCUCUCUCUCUGCACUCACCCAAAGUGGCCAGAUCUCUCCUCUCUUUCUCUUGUCCUGUCUGCAUCCCUCCACCACUCUUUCUUUCUCUUCCUCCACGCCGACCAGCCCGAGUCUGUUCACAUUCACCUCCACAAGUUGAAAGGAUCUCAACCCACCGCUUUCCCAAACUUCCUCCGGCCAAAGACUUUAUUUUCAUUCUUGACCUUUUUUGGAUCCCUCAACAUUUUACUACCGUAGACGCCGGUUGGUGUGUGUUAGGUCUCCGGUGUUGUGCCCCUGGGGACGUCUCUGUGGGUUUUGACUGGCGAGAAGAGCGGAGAAGAGUUUUUUUUGACACAAUGAAAGUUCAGCUGCUGCUCCUGUCGGCCCUUGUUGGCCUUUUGUGCGCCUUCACAAGUGCAAAUCCAAUUACAGACCCUACAGAACUUCACAAUUCAUCUGUGGUCAUUACAGAAGGAGAAACCACACCUGGUGUUGCUCUAGAGGCUAAUCCUACCACUGUUGUCACCAGUCAUCCUCCAUCUGUACCAACUACGGCCCAUUUCGAAAUUACAACACACGUUUUCAAUGACCAUACGAGUGUGCCUGUGCCUACAACUGAAGCCCUAGUCACUGAAACAGAAGCUCCCAAUACACCUACCCAAUACGCUGAAUAUACGUCUGAGGAGACCACAUCGUCCACUGAGCAAGUACUCAGUGAGUCCCAAACAGACGACCUCACUGAGACAAUGGGCCCUACUGGGACAGUGAUCCCUGCUGACACAGAGGGCACUGCUGAGAGAGUGGGCCCUGUUGGGACAGAAACCACUGACCUGAUCAUUGAGGAGGACACAGAAGGUGAGGAAAGUGUGGGAGAAAGGAGAGAGGCCCUGAGCUCUGGACAGAUUGUGGGCAUUGUAGUCGGCGCCCUGCUGGCAGUGGCCGUCAUCACAGCAGUGGUGAUUGUUGUCUUGAAGAGGAUGGGCGAAUACUCACCUUGAGGAAAAAGCCUACAAAGCAGCGGGACCGUGCGAAGUUCUGGAAAUUCUGAACUACUGAACUGUGACGUCAUUUCUGAUUAUUAAAAACAAGCACGCGAUGCCAGAACUAAGCAAACCUAACCAGCUCUCUGGACUGUGUUAACAAAAGCGAGGGGCGAGGGGCACGGGGCACGGGGUGGGGAGGGUGGGGGGUUUAUUUUUUUAAUGUAUAUAUUGCAUGUAUGUGACACAAGAGGGGUACAUGAGCCAAAAUCCUCACCUGCCCCUGCAAACUUCCUGAUCCCGAGGAGCUGUUAAAGAGAACAAAACAAGGUGACAACAGGAUGUCAGGAAGAAUUUCAGGCUUUUCAAAUGCAUUUUGUAGAAAAAAGACAAGACAGGGGUAAGUCCUCCACAUAAGCGAUUUAGUGACUGACUUAGAUUAAUACCAAGAAAGAAAAAUGACAUAAAAAUUAGAAAUACUUACAAAUCAAAGACAUAAGGAGGCUGGGAUUAGGAAAGAAAACAAGAAAUACUGUUGCCAAUUUUGCUGGAUGUAUAUACAGUGCUAGACAAAGACUAUACUGCAUUCAGUUACUCUCAUAUGUUGCACUCGCAUAGGCUAGGCAUUUAAUAUUAUGGAAUAUGCAGUACACUAUGUACAGGCAGCCUUAGGCUAUUGUUGUGGCUAAAGCACCCACGAGCACCGGUAUAGAGUAUGCUGUCAUGCAGCCCCUAAUAGGUUGGCCAACUGGAUGAAGCUUCUGGCCCUGGUGAGCUCUGAGGGUCAUCAGACACGAAAAGACACCCCUCGUUUGCAAGAGUAACGUGACAUUCUGCCCAGUUUAACACUUACAUAUAAAAACCUAAUACAUAUCUGUGAAAUUUAGCAGAAGGGUUUGUGCCACUGUCUCUGGUAUUCUCUAGCUAGCUAAGAUGAUUUUUUUUAUUUUUUUUUUUGGAAGUGCAUUAAAAAUGUGAAUUGAAUGUACUUUUAAACUGAUACCCAUUCCAAAACAAACAACUUGGCCCGUUAGCUUAUAAAGGCUCGCACAUUUGGUUACCAGACAUAGCAGUGACAUUGUCUUGACAGUGCUUCUGUUAAUACCAGAACAGCCAUCCAGUCUUUUCAGUUGACCUGACCCUAGAUCACAUGCAUAGGAUGACAAUUUAUAAUUGCACUUUGUUUUAGUGCAAAGUGUUUGGCAGUUAUGCCUUUUUUUUUUUUUUUUUUGCAAGAGUGUGUCACAUGGAUGUACAAAUAAUGACGUCUCGGCUUACCCCUGCUUGCUUUAAAAACGUAUUUAAUAUGUGCACUGAAUGAGUGGUGUAAUAUUUAAUGAACAAGCUUCAGACACUGCAAAUGUUUGCAACGAUACAUGUCCCUCGUCCCACCCACCCCUUCUGCUUUGCUGCAUAUUAUCACUUCUGAGUCUUUAAUUUGUGCCGUCUGAUUCGUUCAAAACGUUUAUUUAAUUGCAGUGCUUUUGGUCAUACUGUUUCAAUAAAAACAAUUUAAAACACAGUA